Molecule: ribosomal RNA, 253 nt
Filed under: uncultured bacterium
Lineage: Bacteria
Description: partial 16S ribosomal RNA
Rfam family: Bacterial small subunit ribosomal RNA
Source: RNAcentral
UACAGAGGGUGCGAGCGUUAAUCGGAAUUACUGGGCGUAAAGCGUGCGUAGACGGUUAUUUAAGUCGGGUGUGAAAGCCCCGGGCUCAACCUGGGAAUUGCAUUCGAGACUGAAUAGCUAGGGUACGGUAGAGGGAAGUGGAAUUUCCGGUGUAGCGGUGAAAUGCGUAGAUAUCGGGAAGAACACCAGUGGCGAAAGCGCUCUACUGGGCCAUAACUGACACUGAGGGACGAAAGCUAGGGGAGCGAAAGGG